This is a long non-coding RNA of Triticum dicoccoides, 4378 nucleotides long. RefSeq lists it as uncharacterized. Lineage: Eukaryota; Viridiplantae; Streptophyta; Magnoliopsida; Poales; Poaceae. The transcript has 4 exons. The record is from RefSeq and is a predicted model, not a curated record.
CACGUGUAGGUCCACUUUGCCCAAUCUGCUCCAUACGCUCCUCCCACCCGAUCCCCAUCCUCUCGUUCACAACCCUAGCCCCCUUCCUCUCGAUCCUCAUGGCCCAUCCCUCCUCCUUGCUCGUCACCGCCGCUGCCUGCUGCUCCCUCUCCACCACCGUUGCUGCUUAUUGAUCACAAUAUCCCCUCUACCUAAUUCAGAUCGGGCGCAGGUUAGGCGAGCCUGAUGGUGGGUUGGGUGAGGCUACAGGGAGAGGGAGGAGGCCGGCGGCGUGGUGAAGGAGUUGACUUGCCCUCAUGGAGGCGGCGCCAUCGGCCAGGGGCGUCAUUUGCUCGUCGGACACCGUCCGAGCUCGUCUCACCCUCACAGCAACGACCAACAACUCAAGUAGGAAGGGUGAGGGCCCAUCAAGAUCUAGCCCAGGGCGUGCUCCCUGGCGCCCGCACAUAGAGGACUGGCCUCUGGUCGCCGGUUGGUCCUCCUCUUCUCCCCUCGUGCCACCGGCCUCCACCUCCUCCAUCCCUCGAUUCAGCAAAGGCGACGGGGAUCAAGAACCGGGGCGGCACACAUCAUCCUCCCGUUUCUCCUACCACCGACCCUAGAGAUGGCAGCGGCAAGGAGUUGAGCCAGGUGACUCGAUGAGGUGGUCCAUGCUGAGGAAUAGGGCGUCCAUUUGGCUUGUUUUCCUUUUGAUUUUCCUCGCUUACCUGAUCUGAUUUUGUGGUCAAAACAAGGGCUGACUCCGUGUCUGGUCUGAUUUGCUGAUUUUCCUCUUCCAGCUCCUGUUGAUGGCCUUGUUGUGGUUGCACCAUGGUCCGUGGGGAACAAGAACACCACUACUACAACCCAAGUCUGGACAUAGCUUUAGCAGGUUACAUUAUCAAAUUUGGAAGAAAAAAAUCCUAGCAAACCAGCUACAGCCUACAGGAUCUAGGAACAAAGGUAACCAAUCAUUAAGAAUAAGGGGAAAGAAAUGACAAGGCAUAAUAAACAUACACAAAAUUAUAAUCUAAUUAUUGAAAGCUGAACUACCAUUUUAGACAGGAUAACAAGCGUCUAAUUGGUCGAACAACACUGAAAGGGGCCUAACCAGCUUAAUGCAAGAAAUGUAAACUUUGUUGAGCCAUACAUAGUUACACAUUUUAAUGGCAGGAUCAUGGUUCAAGCAAAUAUGAAUCUAGUGGCCACUUCCCCUUGGCAAGCAGUCGAAAUAGACUCAUAUGGUUUUCCUUGACAUGUGUGUCAUCAUAGAUGAGUCAGUAAAGCAUGCUGCAGUCAGCUAGCCGCAAAUGAAGUAAAAAAUAAAUGUAAAAGAGACCAAAUAUGUAGUGUGCAACCAAAUAGAUGUACAAAUUAAAUACGCAGUCACAUAGAGAUGUCAUGAUCAACAGAUUUUUCUAACCAAUUAACAUCUCUCAUUAAUUGUGAGAACCAAGCCAAUGAAAAUGGGCAUGAAUCGGUCUUGUCAAAGUCUACUAUUCAGUGCUUGCAUAUGUCAGAUUGCUGAUGUUCACAAAACUGCAUGUACCUUUUGCCAACAAAAUUGUCGAUGAAUUGCAGAUUUAGAAAAUUAGUUUGGCAUAGCUCAGAACUAUUUGCCUUGACUCAAAUCAAGGUUGUUCGAUAUCAUGAAAUAAGCAACAUGCCUCUUGUGAAACCAUAUUUUAAAUUUGCAAUUUGCAAACUGGGUUUUUGUUUCUCGCACUUUUUCUUUUAAAACAUCACCAGAACUUAGGGUCACAAUUAAUAGUAAGGUGCAAUCUCAGUCAUUAAGUGACAUACUUCAGUUUAGACUUUGCAGAGCAAGAGCUGUUUAUCAAUAUUUUCCGUUACAAUGCCUGCAUAUGUAUACAUAAGUUCUUAUGUUUUCAGAACACUCUAGCUAGGCUUAACUAUUUCUGUUGACAAAUCACAUUCUUAUCUUAAAAUACUAUAAGAAGGCUAGCCAACUUGGCCUCACAACGCUCCCCCAGUUUGGAGCUUCAUUUGCUGUUAGAUCUUGUUCAUUUUCGUCAACUGCGCUGGUUCAGCCGUUCGAUUCUUGCAUCUUGUUUUGACUUUGCGUUUGUUUUUCUUGGCCCAUGACUGGUGGGGCGUUUGGCGUUGCUAUUGGCUGGGUGAAGCGUUAUCUGGGUGCGAACUAACCUGUCCUUGCACGCCGCGCGGCGUGUGAUGCAUCGUUCGCGGUGGUUGCGAGGUGAUGGACUGACGCGUGCAUAUCUGUGGCUACCUUUGCGCACUAUGACUGGUGGACUAAGUUGGAUGUCGGUCCCAUUGGUCUGUGCCUUGUGAGAGAUGGGCUGCUUUUAUCAUGUGACUUUUUGUCCUGCGAGUGCGAAUGCGUCUCGUCUACGGGAGAGAGAGGGAGAUGUGCUGCCGACACGGUCGUGCCUGCCUUUCUUCACUAUGACCGGUGGGACAAGUUGGAUGCUGGUCCUACACGUCGGUGGGUUGGCUUGAUUCUGUUCGUGUCGUUGAGCUUAUCUGGGGUUAGACAGAGAAACAUUCUUUUUAUUGUUUCCAGAGAUCAAGAUAUCGCAAACCAUUCAUGGGAUUCAAAGGGAUAUGCAACAUAUGUGGUGCCUUAUGCAAGCUAAGCCGGGUUAUUGAAGUAAUUGUUCUUCGGUGCUUAGUCGUCACAUGAACAUGAUGAACGUGAAUAGACAACGAAAGAACGGAAGAAGGGGAUAAAGUUCCUUGCGUCGAUGCAUGUACCCAUUCGGCCAGCCAUAUCGUCGUUCUUCCCCAAAGAUCUUAUCCAUAUAUAGGUCAGCAAAUAAGUGGAAAAGAUAGAAAGACAGAGCCUUGGUUAUGUUUUUGUUGGCAAAUAAUCUGGAAUAGUAGCAGUUAUGGCCAACAUGAUUUGUUAUGAUAUACUCCCUCCAUAAACAAAUAUAAGAGCGUUUAGAUCACUGAAGUAGUGAUCUAAAUGCGCUUAUAUUUAUUUACAGAGGAAUUACUUCAUAAUGCAGAGGAAGGUCGGGUUCUGGAAAUCGGAGUCAAUGGUGGACCAGAGAGGUGUUUGUGCAUCAUGCUUCUGUUUGAAAAAACUAUGAUCAUUGUUUCGUUAGGUGUCCUCUUCUUAGUUCAUGCUGCAGCUAGAAUAAAAUGCUUUGAUUUUCCUUUGUGCUCGGUGUUGGUAGUUAGCAGAGUACUGGAAAUAUAGACGCUCCAACAAAACCCACUAAAAAUGAUAGGGUACAUAAGUAACUUGCCUUAUCUAGCUCAUGCUUCGAGGAGCAGUUUGAAACUUCUGUUUCUGGUUUUUUGGGGAGAUAUUCUAGCUGAUUUAUUCUGGUCAUUCUUGCAUCAAUUUCGUUAAACCCACUUUGAUUUCUUCUAUCAUGAAUGCAAAUAUGCAUUUCCUCUAUAAAGAGCCUGCUACAGACUAGCUUUGGUCUAAUUGAUCGAUAAUGACUGUUAUUAGAGAAUUCCUUUUCGAUGGAAAGAGAAUGUUGUUUUGUUUUGUAUUUAGUUAUUGUAUUGGUGACCAUACAAUACAUACGUUACAAUAUCCCUUUUUGCAGCAUCGAAUUCCAUUUAGCAUGAAAAAGUAUUUUUUGUCAAAUAAAUGAUUUGCAUCAUGCGACCAUGUUCCUUUUUUAUGCAGUUUGCCAAUAGCCUAUGGUUGAGUACUCCCUAUGGUGUUGAUCUUCUAAUUCAUUAACCAGAUUAUUUUUUGCGCCUUCUGGUUGCAUAUCCACUUUAGUAAUAAACUUAUAGUAGUACUAUGUGUUGUUUGUUAUCUACCUCGAUGCCGUACUGAUUUCUAUUUUUCACAAUUGCAGGCGCCAUAUUAGUGUUUCUUAUUAUCUACCUUGAUGCCAUACUAAUUUCUGUGAUUCCAAAAUUGCUGGCACCACUUCCUGUUGCCUGUUGGUGCAAGGACCCACGCCUUCCAUCUGAGAAAUCUUUGUGGGUGAGUGAAUGCAUGAUGAUGGCCGCUUGGUGUUCGCAUAAUACAAGGGAAGGAGCUGGUGAGCCAACUCUCAUGUACUUCACAUGAGCUGAAAGAGGCCAAGUGCUAAUCGCAAUGUAUGCUAAAUCUUAAGCAUUCAUCAGUAUUUUUGCUCUGGUCUAUGUCAGCUAACUCUCCCAUGUUGGUGUCGUAACUAUCAGAUGUUGUGUGUGUUUGAAACUUUAUGAAUUCUGGAAUUUUCUUUGUAAUGGUAUCGUGAAAUUAGUGUGGCUCUGUGUCAUUGUGUUUUGUAAUGUUUGCCUUUUAUUCAAUAUUAGCCGAAGCAAGAGAUUCUGAAGAAGAGAGUCAUAGAUACUCUUUCCCUAUACCCGUCAUCAAAUUAGUGUGCAUCAAACUGAAGUAUUUGUGGUUUAUGUAAUUUUGUAGUUACAAUGUGCAUCUUAAUUUAUCAUUGCUAUA